AUCCGGCUGAAACGUCCCGAAUAAGACGAAACGCAUGUCCUGGAU
Molecule: non-coding RNA, 45 nt
Filed under: Schistosoma curassoni
Lineage: Eukaryota; Metazoa; Platyhelminthes; Trematoda; Strigeidida; Schistosomatidae
Source: RNAcentral